Taeniopygia guttata (zebra finch) is the source of this 2547-nucleotide long non-coding RNA. NCBI's taxonomy places the organism in Eukaryota, Metazoa, Chordata, Aves, Passeriformes, Estrildidae. The record is from Ensembl.
UUUUUUUUUCUUUUUUUUUUUUUUUUUUAUUUAUCAGAGUAUACACUACAGGUUAAUUUCUUCAAAGUGUGACUUAACCAGGACAGGAGCUAAUUGUAGUAUAUUAGCCAAUGUUUUGUAAACUAUGCUGGACUGGAUGCUCUGUCUUGUUCAAAAAUGCAUCAUUUCAGUGGGAAGUUGAAAUGAUGUUUUUUAAUUGUUUACAGUUCGGUGUGGUCAUCAAUGGUAGACCUGAAAUACACUGGUCAUUCAGAGAUCCUUGUGAGAGCCAUGGUUUCCCUUGAUGUAUAAACAACCUGCCAGUCUCAUUGGCACUAGAAUGACCCAAGCCCCAAACAAUUUCACACAUGUAUGGGAAAAAAAAAGCACAAUUUGCACAUUAUAGUUUAUUAGAACCCAGUGCAGGUGACAUUCAACGGUAGGACUAUGUGUGACUGACACUUGGGAUAUAUGUAUAUAGCACUUUUGUUGCAAUAAAGAGGUAGACUUCAGAAAAAUGGUUAUGCCUGUGAGAAUAUUUAGAUGUUACAUAUCUCUCCAUUUUACCCACAAAGCACAAUACUCAACAAAAAUAAUUUAAUGUUCCCUUAAUAUAUCCAUUCAUUUGACAUAGGUACUAUGCCUGUAGAUCUAUAAAGAUUUUUUUUUGCAAUUCUAUGUAUUAAUAUAUUUAACAGUUUUCAGACCAAAUGUAAGUAGUAUGUAUGCACAGGCACAUACUAGUAGUAUCAAUUUUAUUGUCUACAGUGUCUCUAAAGUAGAAAUUACAGAAAUAAUAGAGCACUGGCUGGAAAACUACAGUCUACUAUACUGCAUUUGAUAUAUUUGACUGUGGUCAUGGAGCUGAAACACAUAAACCAAAAUCAAGUUAAAUUACUAGAUCAGAAAAUUUGUCUUAUUCACAAACUACUGAUCAUCUGCUGCUACAUAUUCAAAACUUGAAGUAUCUGAAUUAUCUUACUUAUCCUGGGAGUUUUAUUAUACCUCUAUUACUUUCAUUUUUCAUAUUAAUCUAUAGCUGGUAUAACUGUGCUGUAGUAGUUCUGAAUUCCCCAAAGUUUCUAAAUGAAAGAUGAUUUAAUUAAUCAAAAAUUUUUGAAUUACAGUAAUUUAUAACAUGUUACACAUAAGAAUUACUGGUGAAGUAAUUUCCUAAGAUGACAACAUACAGCCUGGAAUGCUAACUGUCUUGGUAAAUUGAGCCAAACAUAAGGAUCACAAAACUAUAGAAUGGUUUGGAUUGGGAGGGACCUUAGAAAUCCUCUAGUUCCAACCCUUCGGCCAUGGACAAGGAUGCUUUCCACUAGACCAGAUUGCUCAGAGACCCAGACAACAUGGCCUUGAACACUUCCAGGGAUGGGGCAUUACAACUUUUCUGAGCAACCUGCUCCAGUGUCUCACCACCCUCACAGUAAAGAAUUUAUUCCCAAUAUCUAACCUAAAUCUACUGUCUCUCAGUUUUAAGCCAUUCCCCCUUGUCAUUUCAACAUAUACUUUGGUAAAUAUUCUCUCUCCAUCUUAUAGGCUUUUUUAAGGUACUGGAAGGUACCUUAAAAUUAAUUAGGUCACCCCAAAUCCUUCUCUGUUUGAGGUUGAACAAUCCCAACUGUCUCAGCCUUCCCUCGUUGGAGAGAUGCUCCAUCCCUCUAAAAAGCUUGGUGGUUCUCGUUUGGACUUGCUUCAGAUAAUUUGAUAGAAUUCUGAUUUUCCAAGAUAUGAUUAAAUCACAUUUAAAGAUGUUUAUAAUGUGAUUUUACAUAUUUUUCUUUUACAUAUUUUUACAAAGUACAAUACUUUCAAAAGAGAACAAAUCUGUCAUAUAGUAUAGAUGAGUGCCUAUUUUAACCAAGUCCAUUUAUCCUUUUCAAUAUGAAUUCAGGGAUACUUUGAGAUUUUUAAUAUGUCUCACAAUGGUCUUUCAUCUAAAAUAAAAAACAGUUGUUUCUUCAAAGCCGGUCAAUUUACACUCCAGCCAUGAUAUCUAGCCAUAAUAUCUACAGUAAGAGCCAAAAUAUUUUAGUGUGUCUUAUUUUCGUGCCCUUUCCAACAUAUUUUUUUAAUGUCAUAUUUUUCACUGUCCCACUACAAUUAUGUAUGACAUUUUUAGGGUGGAAGAAAGAAUGCAAUUAUUAACGUAGAUUUAGAAAAGCAUUAUAGCAUUCAUUGCUGGCAAAAUUCUAAAGACUAAGAAUUUCACCUAACAGUAACUUCAGGAUCCUUCAGCCAUUGAAGUUCAAGACUGAAAACAUAGAUGCGUUUAUAUUUUCUUUAGAAGUUCCAUAAACAACAACAACAACAAACAACAAUUAAACAACAGCAAACAUCUAUCACAUAAAAAGAGUAAGACUUCAUUCAAAGGUCUCUGAUGCAGUGCAUUUUUGAAUAAGAAACAAACUCAGAGAGAUAAAGAAAAUAGAAACGGUAUUUAUAAGCAGCUCUGCCCAUUCUUGUGCAUAUCAUCAUUAAGAGUUCCUCCUUACUAAGAUUAAUUUCAACUGCUCAGUGACUUUUUGAGUUCUAGUGACAUGAUUUUCCCUUGGCCUGUUU